This is a non-coding RNA of Paramuricea clavata, 789 nucleotides long. The record is from the annotation of a GenBank genome assembly. NCBI's taxonomy places the organism in Eukaryota, Metazoa, Cnidaria, Anthozoa, Malacalcyonacea, Plexauridae.
CCUGCUCAUUAAUAAUUCAUAAAAAUAACAUGCAAUAUAUUUGAUUCAAAUCAAACGAUUUGAUUGAGCUUCGGACUAUAAUUAAAGCAAACGGUUUGAGGUUCAUAUUUGGCCAGGCAAAUGCUUUGGAUGGUUAAUAAAUAAUGAAUUAAAAGGGAAUGAUGGUACAUAAACAGAAAAUGGUGUUGAACCUUCAGGUUUUCUAAGAUGAAAAAAAACAGUAGCUGUACGUCUUCAUAGAUUUGACAGAUUGGGGUGUAACAUUUUCGUUGAAUUUAGCUUAGCAAAUCAAAUAAAUUUAUAAAAGGUAACUAACUCACUUUAACGGCAGAGUAUCCGAGUUUGGAGGUAGGUGCCGUUGGUGGCCAAGGCUAGUCGGCGAUCUAGCCUUGUCGGGCAAAUGACCGCAAUGGCAAACAUUAGGCAAAACACUGGCAAACAUUUAUGGCAAACUGGCAAAUGGCAAAACUGGCAAACAGCAAUGGCAAACAGCUAUGGCAAAACAGCAAAAAACGUAAUAAUAAGGCUAAUUAUAGUAGCAAUAGGAGUUUGCCAUGACAAUUCUGCCAAGGCAGACCUCCGGCACCUGUCACACUGAUGAUCAGUGGAAAAAAGGACGCAUUCUAUAGUAGUCUAUAGAUUGUAUCCUAUAAAGAAAAACAAAUAAAAAAAACAACCCGAUACAACCAAAACAAAACAACAAAAAACAAAACUAAAACAAAAAUAAAGAAAUUAACCCGAGUAUCAACAAACAUUACCAGGGUGGGGAAAGGGCGAAGGGGAACAGAG